GACGCGACCUCAGCUCAGGCGGGGCUACCCGCUGAGUUUAAGCAUAUCAAUAAGCGGASGAAARAAAA
This 68-nucleotide ribosomal RNA is filed under the name Tetraberlinia moreliana. RNAcentral's name for it is "partial 26S ribosomal RNA". It matches the Rfam family "Eukaryotic large subunit ribosomal RNA", at positions 1 to 64 of the family's 3401-position model. The record is from RNAcentral. Lineage: Eukaryota; Viridiplantae; Streptophyta; Magnoliopsida; Fabales; Fabaceae.